UACGUAGGGCGCAAGCGUUAUCCGGAAUUAUUGGGCGUAAAGAGCUCGUAGGCGGUUUGUCGCGUCUGCCGUGAAAGUCCGGGGCUCAACUCCGGAUCUGCGGUGGGUACGGGCAGACUUGAGUGAUGUAGGGGAGACUGGAAUUCUUGGUGUAGCGGUGAAAUGCGCAGAUAUCAGGAGGAACACCGAUGGCGAAGGCAGGUCUCUGGGCAUUAACUGACGCUGAGGAGCGAAAGCAUGGGGAGCGAACAGG
RNAcentral lists this ribosomal RNA (253 nucleotides) under uncultured bacterium. RNAcentral's name for it is "partial 16S ribosomal RNA". It matches the Rfam family "Bacterial small subunit ribosomal RNA", at positions 524 to 776 of the family's 1533-position model. The record is from RNAcentral.